UAAGACAGAGGGUGCAAACGUUGCUCGGAAUUACUGGGCGUAAAGCGCAUGUAGGCGGCUCCGUAAGUCGGAUGUGAAAGCCCUCGGCUUAACCGAGGAAGUGCAUUCGAUACUGCAGAGCUAGAGUAUCGGAGAGGGUCGUGGAAUUCCUGGUGUAGAGGUGAAAUUCGUAGAUAUCAGGAGGAACACCGGCGGCGAAGGCGGCGACCUGGACGAAUACUGACGCUCAGAUGCGAAAGCGUGGGUAGCAAACAGGAUUAGAUACCCUGGUAGUCCACGCUGUAAACGAUGGGUACUAGGUGUCGCGGGUAUUGACCCCUGCGGUGCCGAAGCUAACGCAUUAAGUACCCCGCCUGGGGACUACGGCCGCAAGGCUA
RNAcentral lists this ribosomal RNA (377 nucleotides) under uncultured bacterium. Its description in RNAcentral is "bacterial SSU rRNA". It matches the Rfam family "Bacterial small subunit ribosomal RNA", at positions 521 to 896 of the family's 1533-position model. The record is from RNAcentral.